Long non-coding RNA from Clupea harengus (Atlantic herring), 658 nucleotides. The record is from Ensembl. NCBI's taxonomy places the organism in Eukaryota, Metazoa, Chordata, Actinopteri, Clupeiformes, Clupeidae.
CUAGCCCAGGGAAAAUAGAUCUGCACAGCUUCAGCAGCUCCACAGAUGAAAAUGAGAACAAGACAACUGAGCAACAUCAAUGUUAGUGUGCUCUGCACAUUUCACUCUGGACAGUUUCUCAAACCUGGGACAAUAUCGAGCAGGCUUUGCUCAGCGUUUGAUGCUAAAGAGAGAGGCACUUUCAGCUUUAUUGGCAUCACAACCCCAACUGCAACCUCUUCUUGCUUUGCCCUGGUGGAUGGGCACACUUCAGAAGUGGUGGUGACGAGGAUGCAGUGUCAAACCAACAGCCUUGCCACUAAUUUCAACCGGCCUGAAAAUAGGCUUCAAAGCCAUAGCCCUCCAAGAUGUCAUGCUUGGGACACAAAGCCAGAUGAAUCUGGAGCGCUCCAAGAGCAGGAUAGGAACAGAUGCUGGGACAGCUGCUGAUGCAUUACCAGAAGAAGGACCAUCUUCAGAUGUCCCAGAUAUCUUGGCUAAAAGGAAGAUUAAGCCACCUCUCUCUGACCUAGAUAUUCCCUAAAGACAUAGUCCAGUGAGGAGCCUUGCAUCACUUGAUAUUUGUGUCUGCCUUGUAAACAAAGUAUUAUUAUGACGUUGUUACAAGUAAGCAAGUAUUAUUAUGCAUGCAACAAUAUCUCUGUCAAGAUGUAGCCGU